RNAcentral lists this ribosomal RNA (440 nucleotides) under uncultured bacterium. Its description in RNAcentral is "partial 16S ribosomal RNA". It matches the Rfam family "Bacterial small subunit ribosomal RNA", at positions 338 to 795 of the family's 1533-position model. The record is from RNAcentral.
CCUACGGGUGGCAGCAGUAGGGAAUAUUGCUCAAUGGGGGAAACCCUGAAGCAGCAACGCCGCGUGGAGGAUGACGGUUUUCGGAUUGUAAACUCCUUUUGUUAGAGAAGAUAAUGACGGUAUCCAACGAAUAAGCACCGGCUAACUCCGUGCCAGCAGCCGCGGUAAUACGGAGGGUGCAAGCGUUACCCGGAAUCACUGGGCGUAAAGAGCGCGUAGGCGGGAUAGCAAGUCAGAUGUGAAAUCCUAGGGCUUAACCAUAGAACUGCAUUUGAAACUGUUAUUCUAGAGUAUGGGAGAGGUAGGUGGAAUUCUUGGUGUAGGGGUAAAAUCCGUAGAGAUCAAGAGGAAUACUCAUUGCGAAGGCGACCUGCUAGAACAUAACUGACGCUGAUGCGCGAAAGCGUGGGGAGCAAACAGGAUUAGAUACCCUAGUAGUC